AACCUUACCCAGACUUGACAUGCGAGUGGUAGGAACCUGAAAGGGAACCGACCCGCAAGGGAGCUCGUACAGGUGUUGCACGGCUGUCGUCAGCUCGUGUCGUGAGAUGUUGGGUUAAGUCCCGCAACGAGCGCAACCCUCGGGGUCUGUUGUACCUCUCAGACCCGACUGCCGAGAGAAACUCGGAGGAAGGUGGGGAUGACGUCAAGUCAGCGUGGCCUUUAUGUCUGGGGCAACACGCACGCUACAAUCGCCGGUCACAGCGGGUCGCGACAACGCAAGUUGAAGCUAAUCCCUUAAAACCGGCGUCAGUUCAGAUCGGAGGCUGCAACUCGCCUCCGUGAAGUCGGAGUUGCUAGUAACCGCAGGUCAGCACACUGCGGUGAAUAUGUUCCC
This 396-nucleotide ribosomal RNA is filed under the name uncultured bacterium. RNAcentral's name for it is "bacterial SSU rRNA". It matches the Rfam family "Bacterial small subunit ribosomal RNA", at positions 967 to 1375 of the family's 1533-position model. The record is from RNAcentral.